CCUACGGGAGGCAGCAGUGGGGAAUAUUGCACAAUGGGCGAAAGCCUGAUGCAGCAACGCCGCGUGAAGGAAGAAGGGUUUCGGCUCGUAAACUUCUAUCAACAGGGACGAAAGAAAUGACGGUACCUGAAUAAGAAGCCCCGGCUAACUACGUGCCAGCAGCCGCGGGAAUACGUAGGGGGCAAGCGUUAUCCGGAAUUACUGGGUGUAAAGGGUGAGAAGGCGGCAUGGUAAGCCAGAUGUGAAAGCCCUGGGCUUAACCCGAGGAUUGCAUUUGGAACUAUCAAGCUAGAGUGCAGGAGAGGUAGGCGGAAUUCCUAGUGUAGCGGUGAAAUGCGUAGAUAUUAGGAAGAACACCAGUGGCGAAGGCGGCUUUCUGGACGGUAACUGACGCUGAGGCUCGAAAGCGUGGGGAGCGAACAGGAUUAGAUACCCUAGUAGUC
RNAcentral lists this ribosomal RNA (443 nucleotides) under uncultured bacterium. Its description in RNAcentral is "partial 16S ribosomal RNA". It matches the Rfam family "Bacterial small subunit ribosomal RNA", at positions 338 to 795 of the family's 1533-position model. The record is from RNAcentral.